CUACGGGUGGCUCCAGUCACGAAUCUUCCACAAUGCCCGAAAGGGUGAUGGAGCGACGCCGCGUGAUUGAUGAAGCUCUUCGGAGUGUAAAGAUCUUUUCUCUGGGACGAACGUCGACGGUACCAGAGGAAUAAGGGGCUGCUAAUCUCGUGCCAGCAGCAGCGGUAAUACGAGAGCCCCGAGCGUUAUCCGGAUUUAUUGGGCGUAAAGCGUCCGCAGGUGUCUUGAUAAGUUUUUCGUCAAAUUUUGGUGCUUAACAUCAAAACUGCGAAAAAAACUAUCGGGAUAGAGGAUGGGAGAGGCAAGUGGAAUGGCUGGUGUAGGGGCUAAUCCGUUAAUAUCAGCUAGAACACCAAAAGCGAAGGCAACUUGCUGGAACAUACCUGACACUCAUGGACGAAAGCGUGGGGAGCGAACGGGAUUAGAUACCCUGGUAGUC
RNAcentral lists this ribosomal RNA (439 nucleotides) under uncultured bacterium. RNAcentral describes it as "partial 16S ribosomal RNA". It matches the Rfam family "Bacterial small subunit ribosomal RNA", at positions 339 to 795 of the family's 1533-position model. The record is from RNAcentral.